AAGUUAGGUUUUUAUGAAAAAGUUAGUUUUGGUAUAAGUUAGGUUUUUUCGAAAAAGUUAGUUUUGGUAUAAGUUAGGUUUUUAUGAAAAAGUUAGGUUUUUUCGAAAAAGUUAGUUUUGGUAAAAGUUAGGUUUUUUCGAAAAAGUAAGGUUUUUUAGAAAAAGUUAGUUUUGGUAUAAGUUAGGUUUUUUCGAAGAAGUU
Long non-coding RNA from Anopheles funestus (African malaria mosquito), 202 nucleotides. RefSeq lists it as uncharacterized. NCBI's taxonomy places the organism in Eukaryota, Metazoa, Arthropoda, Insecta, Diptera, Culicidae. The transcript is spliced from 3 exons. The record is from RefSeq and is a predicted model, not a curated record.